RNAcentral lists this ribosomal RNA (497 nucleotides) under uncultured bacterium. Its description in RNAcentral is "partial 16S ribosomal RNA". It matches the Rfam family "Bacterial small subunit ribosomal RNA", at positions 28 to 507 of the family's 1533-position model. The record is from RNAcentral.
GAUGAACGCUGGCGGCGUGCCUAAUACAUGCAAGUCGAGCGAACAGAUAAGGAGCUUGCUCCUUUGACAUUAGCGGCGGACGGGUGAGUAACACGUGGGUAACCUACCUAUAAGACUGGAAUAACUCCGGGAAACCGGGGCUAAUGCCGGAUAACAUUUAGAACCGCAUGGUUCUAAAGUGAAAGAUGGUUUUGCUCUCACUUAUAGAUGGACCCGCGCCGUAUUAGCUAGUUGGGAAGGUAACGGCUUACCAAGGCAACGAUACGUAGCCGACCUGAGAGGGUGAUCGGCCAAACUGGAACUGAGACAAGGUACAGAUUCCUAAGAGAGGCAGCAGUAGGGAAUCUUGCGCAAUGGGCGAAAGCCUGACGGAGCAACGCCGCGUGAGUGAUGAAGGUCUUCGGAUCUUAAAACUCUGUUAUUAGGGAAGAACAAAUGUGUAAGUAACUGUGCACGUAUUGACGGUACCUAAUCAGAAAGCAACGGCUAACUACGUG